RNAcentral lists this ribosomal RNA (159 nucleotides) under Cissus discolor. Its description in RNAcentral is "5.8S ribosomal RNA". It matches the Rfam family "5.8S ribosomal RNA". From Rfam's summary of the family: 5.8S ribosomal RNA (5.8S rRNA) is a component of the large subunit of the eukaryotic ribosome. The record is from RNAcentral. RNAcentral also lists the same sequence under 2 other names. Lineage: Eukaryota; Viridiplantae; Streptophyta; Magnoliopsida; Vitales; Vitaceae.
GACUCUCGGCAACGGAUAUCUAGGCUCUCGCAUCGAUGAAGAACGUAGCAAAAUGCGAUACUUGGUGUGAAUUGCAGAAUCCCGUGAAUCAUCGAGUCUUUGAACGCAAGUUGCGCCCGAAGCCAUCAGGCCGAGGGCACGCCUGCCUGGGCGUCUCGC